This is an RNA transcript of Pollicipes pollicipes, 5976 nucleotides long. It is a transcript of the gene named Ankyrin 2, with no coding region annotated. NCBI's taxonomy places the organism in Eukaryota, Metazoa, Arthropoda, Thecostraca, Pollicipedomorpha, Pollicipedidae. The transcript is spliced from 41 exons. The record is from RefSeq and is a predicted model, not a curated record.
CGGGUGACUGGUGCCUUCCGCCCAUUGGUUGUCGGCGUUGGUGGUCCCCGCUGAUUGUUCGGUGCUUUGGGAGACGGUGUGCGAUUGGCGGAGAGUGACGGUUCCCCUUGGAAACCGAUCGGCUGCAGCCUUUGAUUGGACGAACUUGUCCGACGUGGCCAGUGAUUGGUGUUGUGUUCGGAGCCGUAGUCUCCGGCCUUGGAAUAAAAAGUCUGCCCGGUGAUCACUGCCAUGGGCGUGACCUGAGCGGUACCGGUGGACUGCGACGGUGACCCGGGCGGCCCGAGUGACCCGGGCGCGACCUGAGUGACCAGGGCGUGACCCGAUCGAUUCGAGUGAUCCGAACGCGAUCCCAGUGGUCCGAGUAACCUGAGCGUGACCCGGGUGAUCUGAGUGACCCGGGCUGCGGCGGGGACGGCGCACCGUCCGGCCGUUGGGAGCCGCCGGGCCGUGACCUGACCGCGGCCGGUGCCGGGUGUAGCUGCUGGGCUGGUGCUCGGGCCAGCUGAACUCAGCUCAGCUCACCGCUGCCAGUAUGUCCGAAAAGCUCGGCCGCAAGAUUUCAUUUCGGUCGGACGCCAGCGCCAGCUUCCUGCGGGCGGCCCGAGGCGGCAACCUCGACAAGGUGCUGGACUACAUCAAGACCGGCACCGACAUCAACACCUGCAACCAGAAUGGGCUAAACGCGCUUCACCUGGCCAGCAAGGAGGGCCAUGGCCACAUUGUCAGUGAACUGCUCAACAGAGGGGCAAAUGUUGACGCAGUCACUAAGAAGGGCAACUCGGCACUGCACGUGGCCUCCCUAGCCGGUCAAGAGGAGAUUGUUCGCCUGCUGGUGCAGGCCGGUGCCAACGUGAACGCGCAGAGCCAGAAUGGCUUCACGCCGCUGUACAUGGCGGCCCAGGAGAACCACGACGCCGUCGUGCGGUACCUGCUGGCCAACGGCGCCAAUCAGAGCAUCGCCACAGAGGACGGCUUCACGCCGCUGGCGGUGGCGCUACAGCAGGGUCAUGACAAGGUGGUGGCCGUGCUGCUGGAGAACGACACGCGCGGCAAGGUGCGCCUGCCCGCCCUCCACAUCGCCGCCAAGAAGGACGACUGCAAGUCGGCCGUCCUCCUGCUACAGAACGACCACAAGUCUGACGUGACGAGCAAGUCCGGCUUCACGCCGCUGCACAUCGCCGCUCACUACGGCAACCAGAACAUCGCCGCCCUGCUGCUGGACAAGGGCGCCGACAUCAACUACAUGGCCAAGCACCACAUCACGCCGCUGCACGUGGCAGCCAAGUGGGGCAAGGCCAACAUGGUGACGCUGCUCUGCGAGCGGGGCGCCAACCAGGAAGCGAAGACGCGGGACGGCCUGACGCCGCUGCACUGCGCUGCCCGCUCCGGCCACGAGAACGUGGUCGACCUGCUGCUCGAGAAGGGCGCCUUCAUCUCGGCCAAGACCAAGAACGGCCUGACGCCGCUGCACAUGUCGGCCCAGGGCGACCACGUGGACGCUGCGCGCAUCCUCUUCUACCACAAAGCGCCCGUCGAUGACGUCACGGUCGACUACCUGACGGCGCUGCACGUGGCCGCACACUGUGGCCACGUCAAGGUGGCCAAGCUGCUGCUGGACCGACACGCCGACCCCAACUCGCGGGCGCUGAACGGCUUCACGCCGCUGCACAUCGCCUGCAAGAAGAACCGCAUCGAGGUGGUGGAGCUGCUGCUCAAGUACGGCGCCAACAUCGAGGCCACCACCGAGUCGGGCCUGACGCCACUUCACGUGGCCUCCUUCAUGGGCUGCAUGAACAUCGUCAUCUACCUGCUGCAGCACGACGCCAAACCUAACCACGCCACAGUGCGCGGCGAGACGCCGCUGCACCUGGCGGCGCGCGCCAACCAGGCCGACAUCAUCCGCAUCCUGCUGAGGAACAGGGCCGAGGUGGACGCCCGAGCUCGGGAGCAGCAGACACCUCUUCACAUUGCUGCCCGGCUGGGCAACGCCGACAUAGUGAUGAUGCUGCUGCAGCACGGCGCCGCCGUCGACUCGACCACCAAGGACCUGUACACGGCGCUGCACAUCGCCGCCAAGGAGGGCCAGGACGAGGUGGCGCAGGUGCUGAUGGAGCACGGCGCCUCGCUGUCGGCGGUGACCAAGAAGGGCUUCACGCCGCUCCACCUGGCGGCCAAGUACGGCAACAUCCGCGUGGCCAAGACGCUGCUGGCCAAGGACGCUCCGGUCGACGCCCAGGGCAAGAACGGCGUGACGCCGCUGCAUGUGGCGGCCCACUUCGACCACCAGCAGGUGGCGCUGCUGCUGCUGGAGAAGGGCGCCUCCGUCAGGGCCACGGCCAAGAACGGCUACACACCCCUGCAUAUCGCCGCCAAGAAGAACCAGAUGGACAUUGCCACCACGCUGCUGGAGUACGGCGCCGAGACCAACUGCGAGUCGAAGGCGGGCUUCACGCCGCUGCACCUGGCCGCCCAGGAGGGCCACGCCGACAUGGCCACGCUGCUGAUCGAGCACAAGGCCGACGCCAACCACCGCGCCAAGAACGGCCUGACGCCGCUGCACCUGUGCGCCCAAGAGGACCGGGUGCCGGUGGCGGCCAUCCUGGUGAAGAACGGCGCCGAGGUGGGCCCGGAGACGGCCGCCGGCUACACGCCGCUCCACGUGGCCUCGCACUUCGGCCAGCUGAACAUGGUCCGCUUCCUGCUGCAGCACCAGGCUGAGGUGAACCCGGUGACGUCGGCCGGCUACACGCCGCUGCACCAGGCCGCCCAGCAAGGACACACACUCAUCAUCAACCUGCUGCUCGAACACAAGGCCCAGCCGAAUGCCGUCACCAACUCGGGCCAGACGGCGCUCUCGAUCGCCCAGCGCCUCGGCUACAUCUCGGUGGUGGAGACGCUGAAGGUGGUGACGGAGACGGUCAUCACCACCACCACCACCACCGUCACUGAGGAGAAGUACAAGGUGGUGGCGCCCGAGACCAUGCAGGAGGCCUUCCUCAGCGACAGCGAGGACGAAGGAGGCGACGACUUCCUCGACUCGGCCGUGUACGGUAAACCGUCUAACGCCCAGCACGUGUACCUGCCCUAUUACGAGGGCCAGAUGGAGCUGAGCACCGAGGACCAGCCGCUGGGCGACUCAACCUACAAGUACCUGACGGUGGACGAGAUGAAGUCGCUCGGCGACGACUCCAUGCCCAUGGACACAUCCCGCGACGAGACGUUCGACCGCUCGCACGACUUCAACACAGACUGGAUCAACAACGCCCCGGCGAUCGAGGAGAUGAUUUCGCCGCAGAAGCUGAAGGAGUCAUAUGCCCAGUUCACGGGCAGCUUCGCGCCCGACAACGUCGACAUCUCGCGCUCGCCCGUCACGGCCGGCGUUUCCACGCACAGUCUGGACACCACGCUGUCUUGUUGCACCGCCACUAGCUUUGUCGGAAUGUUCCGCAGCAGGUUCCUGGUGAGCUUCAUGGUGGACGCCCGAGGCGGCGCCAUGCGCGGCUGCCGGCACUCGGGCGUGCGCGUCAUCGUGCCGCCCCGCAAGGCGGCCCAGCCCAUGCGCAUCACGUGCCGCUACCUGAAGAAAGACAAGUUGCUGCACCCGCCGCCUUUGAUGGAGGGCGAGGCGAUCGCCAGCCGCAUUCUGGAGAUGGGCCCGGCCCAGGCCAAAUUCCUCGGCCCGGUCAUUAUCGAGGUGCCGCACUUCGCGGCCCUCCGCGGCCGCGAGCGCGAGAUCGUCAUCCUGCGCUCCGACAACGGCGAGACCUGGAAGGAGCACACCCUGGAGGCGUCCGAGGAGGCCGUCCAGGAGGUGCUCAACGAGAGCUUCGACGGCGACGAGCUGAAGCAGCUGGAGGACCUCAACACCAGCCGCAUCACGCGCAUCGUCACCACCGACUUCCCGCAGUACUUCGCCAUCGUCAGCCGGCUUCGCCAGGAGGUGCACGCCAUCGGCACGGAGGGCGGCAUGGUGUCCAGCACGGUGGUGCCCCAGGUGCAGGCCGUCUUCCAGCCGGGCGCGCUCACCAAGAAGAUCAAGGUCGGCCUGCAGGCUCAGCCGAUCCCGCCCGAACUGGUGGCUAAGCUGCUCGGCAACCGAGUGGCCGUGUCCCCGAUCGUCACCAUCGAACCGCGCCGACGCAAGUUCCACAAGCCCAUCACGCUGACCAUCCCCGUGCCCCAAGCGGCCGCCAAGGGCAUGAUCAAUCAGUACAGCGGCGACGCGCCCACCUUGAGACUGUUGUGCUCGAUAACAGGUGGCACCACGCGCGCCCAGUGGGAGGACGUCACGGGCUCGACGCCGCUGACGUUCGUGAACGACUGCGUCUCCUUCACCACCACCGUGUCGGCCCGCUUCUGGCUGAUGGACUGCCGCAACGUGACCGAGGCCACGGCCAUGGCCACCGAGCUCUACAAGGAGGCCAUCCACGUGCCGUUCAUGGCCAAGUUUGUGGUGUUCGCGAAGCGGCACGACCCGCUGGAGGGACGCGUCCGCGUCUUCUGCAUGACGGACGACAAGGAGGAGAAGACGCUGGAGCAGCAGGAGCACUUCCUGGAGGUGGCCAAGAGCCGUGAUGUGGAGGUGCUGGAGGGCAAGCCGCUGUACCUCGAGUUCGCCGGCAACCUGCUGCCGGUCACCAAGUCGGGCGACCAGCUCAACUUCCAGUUCUACUCGUUCCGCGAGAACCGGAUGCCGUUCAACAUGCGUGUCAAGGACCACACGCAGGACCCGAUGGGCCGCGUCGCCUUCAUGCGCGAGAAGAAGCUGAGCCGCCAGGAUGCGCCCCAGGCGCCCAUCUGUAACCUGAACAUCCAGCUGCCGACGGACGUGUGCCCCGACCUGGACGUGUCGGCCGACAGCGAGCUGCUGCGGCAGCGGCUGACGCCGCACGCGGUGCGCCGCAUCGGCCGGCUCGUGACGCCGGAGAUCCACAGGGCUGACAUCCGCAUCACCGACAUCGCUCACAAGCUGGGCAAGGACUGGGUAGCGCUGGCGCCACACCUCGAGGUGCCCCAGUCGGACAUUGAGCUGAUUCAGACCGAGUACCCGGACGACUCGGCCCAGCAGGCCACUGUCAUGCUGCGGCUGUGGAUGAACAGCGCCGGCAACCAGGCCACCGGCAACACGCUGGCGCGAGGCCUGCAGGCCAUUCAGCGCGACGACAUCGUGACGGCCUGCAUCACAGACUCGGUCAUGGUGACGGACGCCAUGGAGGCGGCCAUGGCCAAGGCACGGCUCGACCAGUCAGGUUUCGACAGUCUGCGCGAGGAGCUGGGGCCCUCUCGCGACACCUCGUUCAGACCGGACCUGACGUACGACGACCGGGACAUCAUGAAGGAAGCCGAAAGCAUGGAAGACGUUCGCGUCUCCGAAGUUGAAAAAGUCGAGCCUGCCGCCACGCCGUCGGCCGACGCCGAGGAGCGCAAGUACGCGGCCGAGGAGAAGCCCGAGCCGACACGACGGCCGGUCCGGCCGCUGGCGCCGAUUGCGCCCAAAGACGGCCCGGCCACGGGCCAGGUCACCGUCACUGACCUGGUCAGCCCGGUCGACGACGAGCCGGCCAUCGCGCCCGUCCACCUCAGCUCGGCGGCCGUGGCGCCGGCCGACGAGCCCGAGCCCAAGCGGCGCUCCAUGGUGCUGCGCGAGCUGGGCGCCGCGCUGGCCGAGGUCGAGCGCAGCCAGCCGCCGCUGCCGGCGCACGAGCGGCCGUUCGGAGACGAGCCGGUGGUGGACGAGCCAGUCAUGGUGUCCGAGAAGAAGGGCCUCAAGUCGCCCACCACAGGCGGCCAUGAUCGUGCCGACCUCGGCCGUCCGCACACAAGCGGCUCCCGAUGGCAGUAAAACCACCGUACAGCAACAAACGAGCGAAUCCGUAACCGACGAUGGAAGACUUGUUCAGAAGUCAACGACCAUCACCACCACCACAGUCGGAGGUGACUCUGACUUGGCUCAGCGCCUCGCCUCUGAAGGUA